Molecule: small nucleolar RNA, 108 nt
Filed under: Echinops telfairi (small Madagascar hedgehog)
Lineage: Eukaryota; Metazoa; Chordata; Mammalia; Afrosoricida; Tenrecidae
Description: Small nucleolar RNA SNORA61 (ENSETEG00000024888.1)
Source: RNAcentral
AGCCUCCAGUUCCCUUGCCCCUCAGAUCUACACAUUGGUCUGAGGAGCUACAAAAGGGGGAUAAGUAAAGCUAACCUUGGAUUCUUUCCAAGUUUAUUUCAGACAAAU